This is a non-coding RNA of Punica granatum (pomegranate), 108 nucleotides long. The record is from Rfam. NCBI's taxonomy places the organism in Eukaryota, Viridiplantae, Streptophyta, Magnoliopsida, Myrtales, Lythraceae.
UGCAUUUGUCGGGCAUGGAGUCUGAAGAACUCGCAGAUUGUGUGUUGUCUAUCAGCUUCUUCCCUUGUUAAUCCCACGGGAUUGGAGUUAAAUAACAGCACUACAUUU